CCCUCGCAGUCAGUCGCUCGGCCGCUCGCGCCGCGAACGCACGUAUCGCACGUCCGAGAAUUACGACCGCACGUAGUCUCGACGAACAUAAAAUUAAAAAAUCUGUUACUGGUUUCUGUGCCAAGUCCCUGGGGGAACGUCAACUUUUACUAACUGGAUCCCGUUCUGGUUUUUUAUUGUUUAUCGUUAACAAGUGCAAAAUGUGAUGUUAUGUGUGAUCAUUGAGCGUACCGUCCUGUGUAACGUUGAAGUGAACUCAAUGGAUGUAAUGUGCUUUUGAAUUUGGAGUCUUACUUAGUCCUUCGCACCGGAUUUCUAUUCAAAAGAUACGGAAUGACAGUCGCGCUACAGAGACUUUCAUGAUCUCUACAGCAUCCGAGGUUGAGAAGUGACGGAGACUGAACCCUCAGCUAUGCAAAGGUCGUAACUUCGGCAGUAAUUUCAACAUGUCCUCGGCAAUAAUCUCUUCGCGUAGCUACAGAAUAUCAUCGAAUUCAACACCCACAUCUUUUCUAAAGAUGACGUCACUACGGUUCGCCCGCAGUGUUGCCAGCUUCCUCACUUCUAGCACAUUUAUGGUAUGUAUAUU
This is an RNA transcript of Amyelois transitella, 589 nucleotides long. RefSeq lists it as uncharacterized. The record is from RefSeq and is a predicted model, not a curated record. Lineage: Eukaryota; Metazoa; Arthropoda; Insecta; Lepidoptera; Pyralidae. The transcript has 7 exons.